Molecule: ribosomal RNA, 869 nt
Filed under: uncultured archaeon
Lineage: Archaea
Description: bacterial SSU rRNA
Rfam family: Archaeal small subunit ribosomal RNA
Source: RNAcentral
UCCCGGUUGAUCCCGCCGGACCUGACUGCUAUCGGAUUGGUACUAAGCCAUGCGAGUCGUUGUAGCAAUACAAGGCGGACGGCUCAGUAACACGUAGUCAACCUAACCUAUGGACGUGGAUAACCUCGGGAAACUGAGAAUAAACCGCGAUAGAUCAUUAUGCCUGGAAUGGCUUAUGGUUCAAACAAUUUAUUGCCGUAGGAUGGGACUGCGGCCUAUCAGCUUGUUGGUGAGGUAAUGGCCCACCAAGGCUAUAACAGGUACGGGCUCUGAGAGGAGAAGCCCGGAGAUGGGUACUGAGACACGGACCCAGGCCCUAUGGGGCGCAGCAGGCGAGAAACCUUAGCAAUGUGCGAAAGCACGACUAGGUUAAUCCGAGUGAUUUCUGUUGAAGAAAUCUUUUGUCAGUCAUAAAACCACAGACGAAUAAGGGGUGGGCAAGUCUGGUGUCAGCCGCCGCGGUAAUACCAGCACCUCGAGUGGUCAGGAGGUUUAUUGGGCCUAAAGCAUCCGUAGCCGGCUACGCAAGUCUCCGGUUAAAUCCAGCUGCUCAACAGAUGGGCUGCCGGAGAUACUACAUAGCUAGGGAGCGGGAGAGGCAGACGGUAUUCUGUGGGUAGGGGUAAAAUCCUUUGAUCCAUAGAGGACCACCAGUGGCGAAGGCGGUCUGCCAGAACGCGUUCGACGGUGAGGGAUGAAAGCUGGGGGAGCAAACCGGAUUAGAUACCCGGGUAGUCCCAGCUGUAAACGAUGCAAACUCGGUGAUGCAUUGGCUUAUGGCCAAUGCAGUGCCGCAGGGAAGCCGUUAAGUUUGCCGCCUGGGAAGUACGGACGCAAGUCUGAAACUUAAAGGAAUUGGCGGGGGAGCA